UCUCGUUGCUAGUAGAGAAAUCCUUUUUUUUUCCCAUUCUCUCCCGUUUUGUCUAUCAGAGAAGAGAUAACCCCAUGAGGAUUUUUGCAAGAUAUAGAUCGUUCCGCGAAUCCAAGCUCGAUUAUUUAUAUGAAGUUUUUGGUGGUAUUUGUAUGGGAAAUUAAAGAAUAAAUGGGAUCGUGGGAUAGAAGUCUAUUGCAAUUUUUUUUUUAUAGUUUUAUCACAUUUUUUGUACAAUCCAGAAGUUCAUAUAUGGAAUACUGAAAUAAAAGUGUUUUAGUUAUGUAUUUUCAUAGAUUCAUUACUUAUUUUUGACAUGCAGUUGAUUUUUAGAUUAUGAAUCCGCAGUACAUAUAUGAAAUACUGAAACAUACUGCUUUGGUUUUGUUAUUAUUUAUAGUUUUAUC
Molecule: long non-coding RNA, 407 nt
Organism: Papaver somniferum (opium poppy)
Lineage: Eukaryota; Viridiplantae; Streptophyta; Magnoliopsida; Ranunculales; Papaveraceae
Exons: 2
Source: RefSeq, a predicted model, not a curated record